This 450-nucleotide ribosomal RNA is filed under the name uncultured bacterium. RNAcentral describes it as "partial 16S ribosomal RNA". It matches the Rfam family "Bacterial small subunit ribosomal RNA", at positions 354 to 795 of the family's 1533-position model. The record is from RNAcentral.
GUGGGGAAUAUUGGACAAUGGGGGGAACCCUGAUCCAGCCAUGCCGCGUGUGUGAAGAAGGCCUUUUGGUUGUAAAGCACUUUAAGCGAGGAGGAGGCUACCGAGAUUAAUACUCUUGGAUAGUGGACGUUACUCGCAGAAUAAGCACCGGCUAACUCUGUGCCAGCAGCCGCGGUAAUACAGAGGGUGCAAGCGUUAAUCGGAUUUACUGGGCGUAAAGCGCGCGUAGGUGGCCAAUUAAGUCAAAUGUGAAAUCCCCGAGCUUAACUUGGGAAUUGCAUUCGAUACUGGUUGGCUAGAGUAUGGGAGAGGAUGGUAGAAUUCCAGGUGUAGCGGUGAAAUGCGUAGAGAUCUGGAGGAAUACCGAUGGCGAAGGCAGCCAUCUGGCCUAAUACUGACACUGAGGUGCGAAAGCAUGGGGAGCAAACAGGAUUAGAUACCCGAGUAGUC